This is a non-coding RNA of Phasianus colchicus (ring-necked pheasant), 1497 nucleotides long. NCBI's taxonomy places the organism in Eukaryota, Metazoa, Chordata, Aves, Galliformes, Phasianidae. The record is from RefSeq and is a predicted model, not a curated record.
UGUAGGAGAAAAGCCCAGUGAAGCAAAAGCUUCUGUCCUUUUAUUUUUGCUCUUAACAUGUAAAAAUAAUAGAAGCACCCGCUGCCUGCUGGGCUCGUUAAAUUAGUCUUUUUAUUUUCAUAAAUCACUGCGGUAGAAUCUGAAUUAUUUACUCAGCAAACUCGAGGCUACAUUGAUCUCCCCUCUCCGGUUGCUCGGAGCCCAUUUCUGCAUUGGUUUUGGAGCAGUUUCCCUCCUGCCUUGCAUUGGGGCCACCUUUGCAGGUCUCACCCCAGCGGCUGUGGGGUGGCUGCAAACUUCAAAAGCUGCCUGGAAUGCCGGCCCUGUGCAGCUCUGCUGCCGCUAAAUUAUGCAUCAGCACACAGCAGAUCAAACACCUCCAUAUCAUGCGCUCGUGGGUCUUUGGCAAAGCAAUAAGAACCUCAGCAUUCCUUCCUCAGUAAUACGUGGGGCGGUUGCUCUGCACGCUGGAGAGUAACGGUGUCGGGGUGUGGGGGUGCGCGUGUAAUUUUCUUAAGUGAAGCACUUCAAUCAAAGCUUCAUUCUACUGUAAACCCAAUUAGCUUCAGUCUCUGCCAAGUCAGCUCGGCUGUCUGCAGGAAUGUAUGUACAGCUAUGAAUAAUUGCUACACCCGGUUUUCUUUCCAUCUAAGAAACGCCACGAGGCUUUUGCUACCACCAGGUAAACCCUCUGCACGUGUCUCUGAGGUUGCAGACGAAGACAUCUGCUCAGAAAUGGUAAAUGUGUUUGAAUAGUGCUCUGUGUGUGCAGAGGCUCAAUAAGAAGCAUGCCCUUUCUUUGCUUUGGAGCAGAAGGUCGCUGAACCCAAAUCUGCACUCCUUGGAGCCAUCAGGGCGCUGCCUUUGGCUGUGUGGGAGCAGGGAGGAGCACUUCUAUGGCAUCAUAACAUGCUGCUGCAGAACGAGCCCAUUACUGCAGGAAAACACCAGCGGGGCAUCCUCUGUGUCAUGCAAGAGGAAAGGCAGGUACAGAAGUGAGUGCCUGGUGUGACACCUAUGAACGGAGCUGCAACAGCACAGGAGUGACAGCGUGGUUGCACAGCAGAACGCAGUGCCAUGCUGCUCCUCACAGCUCCAGCUUCCCUGCUCCUGGCACUGCCUCAGAAUACAGCUUCAUCAAGAGAUGCCAAUGAUGUGAGAACAUGGAGCUGCAAUGGGUGCAAUGCUGCGGGGCUGCACUGUGACUCCACCGUCGUCCCUACCCUCCAUCACCACAGCAACCUCCUUUGCCUGCCAACAUCUGGCUAAAAGAACUUGCCAAAGCCAGUGAAGUGGCAGUGCCUCAUAUAACCCCAUGCCUUAUGCAAGAGCACAGGCAGCAAAACGCAGAGAUCCUGGCUCUGGUCACAGCACAGCUGCUUCAGCCUUUACAGAGCUGGACCCCCACGGCCACAAUAUUUGAACAGAUGUUUUAAAGUAAGUUUCAGAAAGGACAUAUGAAUGUGUUUCCUCCUCAAAGUCUAUCACUUAAAUGUG